CAACAUUCAAAAAGCUCUCACCGUCUUCAAAUCUUCUAUUGACUUGAAGUCCCUGCAACAAAUUGCAAAUGUUAAUAGGACUACCAGUAUCUAAUAUCUAGGUCAUUGUAUCACAAAUAAAGAAGUUGCAAGGUGUUAUCAUAUAAUUACCUUAUCCAACAACCAAUUACUUCUUUUUUUUUGACUUGUUCGAAUCAAGAGAAGCUAUAUAUUGAGGACAGUUCCUCUUCUAAUGAUCCUACUUCCUAUAAUAGAAGC
RNAcentral lists this long non-coding RNA (258 nucleotides) under Elaeis guineensis (African oil palm). RNAcentral describes it as "long non-coding RNA (EGUI_LNC060539)". Lineage: Eukaryota; Viridiplantae; Streptophyta; Magnoliopsida; Arecales; Arecaceae. The record is from RNAcentral.